UUUGAGUCCAUUCGGAGAAUCCAACAAAUUGGAACGAUAUAGAAAAAAUUAUUAUGUCUCAUGCACAAGAUGACAUGCAUAAAUAGAGAAAUAUACUACUAUUAG
This is a small nuclear RNA of Salvia splendens (bonfire salvia), 105 nucleotides long. NCBI's taxonomy places the organism in Eukaryota, Viridiplantae, Streptophyta, Magnoliopsida, Lamiales, Lamiaceae. The record is from RefSeq and is a predicted model, not a curated record.